CUACGGGAUGCUCCAGUGGGGAAUAUUGGGCAAUGGGCGCAAGCCUGACCCAGCAACGCCGCGUGAGGGAAGAAUGUCUUCGGAUUGUAAACCUCUGUCCUUGGGGACGAAAAAAAUGACGGUACCCAAGGAGGAAGCUCCGGCUAACUACGUGCCAGCAGCCGCGGUAAUACGUAGGGAGCAAGCGUUGUCCGGAAUUAUUGGGCGUAAAGGGUGCGUAGGCGGCGCUGUAAGUCAGAUGUGAAAUCCCCGGGCUUAACUCGGGAGUUGCAUUUGAAACUACAGUGCUUGAGUAAAGAAGGGGUAAGUGGAAUUCCUAGUGUAGCGGUGGAAUGCGUAGAUAUUAGGAGGAGCACCAGUGGCGAAGGCGACUUACUGGUCUUUUACUGACGCUGAGGCACGAAAGCGUGGGGAGCAAACAGGAUUAGAUACCCCGGUAGUC
RNAcentral lists this ribosomal RNA (442 nucleotides) under uncultured bacterium. Its description in RNAcentral is "partial 16S ribosomal RNA". It matches the Rfam family "Bacterial small subunit ribosomal RNA", at positions 339 to 795 of the family's 1533-position model. The record is from RNAcentral.